Molecule: ribosomal RNA, 268 nt
Filed under: uncultured Prevotella sp.
Lineage: Bacteria; Pseudomonadati; Bacteroidota; Bacteroidia; Bacteroidales; Prevotellaceae
Description: partial 16S ribosomal RNA
Rfam family: Bacterial small subunit ribosomal RNA
Source: RNAcentral
UCGGCGACCGGCGCACGGGUGAGUAACGCGUAUCCAACCUGCCCAUAACUAAGGGAUAACCCAGCGAAAGUUGGACUAAUACUUUAUGUAUUCGUUUGAUCUCAUGAGAUUACGAAUAAAGAUUUAUCGGUUAUGGAUGGGGAUGUGUCUGAUUAGCUUGUUGGCGGGGUAACGGCCCACCAAGGCAACGAUCAGUAGGGGUUCUGAGAGGAAGGUCCCCCACAUUGGAACUGAGACACGGUCCAAACUCCUACGGGAGGCAGCAGAU